CAGACUUGGCAGUGUGGGAACAAGAGAGACACAGCACAUGCUGUCCCUUCUCUCCUGAAGCCAGCAGUCUUGGAGGGACACGACCCAGUCCACAGGCAUUCAAGUUCAGGAAAGGCACAUUGGAGGGUACUUAGCACAAGCUGGGAGGUUGGGAUGGUUUGAAGGUCAAAGUACAAGGGCCAGGUGAGUGUUACACAACUGAAAAGAAGGAGAACAAGUAUGAUCUGAGGCAAAGGAAGGAGCCAUGCAUCAGCUGAGAAGAGCAGAAGUGUGACAUGAUCAGGGAAUAACAAAAUGGCUCAGCAUGGAGGGUGGAUUCAGUCAGCUUUCACCACUGUAGAGCAACAAGUUUACAGAAUGGGUGUACCAGUCAGCCCCUGUGAUAUCCAGGUUCUAUACCAGUUUGGUAAAUGGCAAGAGAAGAAACUGAAAAGCCCAAAGGAAGCUCAUCUAUCAGAUUAAACGGAGGCUUCACCGGAUUUGUGGCAAAUAAAUUGACAAGCGAGGGCACAGAUGACAAGAGAGCGAUAAUUGAUGGAGCCAAGUGGGGGCCUGGUGCACUGGCAGGUCCUGUGGAGGGUGAGCCAAGGACAUCUAUCAAUCAAAUUGGUGACAGCAGCCAGCGAGACUUAAUUGAAGGUGCAUUGAACCUUUAAUGAUGUGACAGGGAAAAAUAAGGAUGCUUAAAAGUGUCCUCAGCUUUCUUUUUCUUUGUUCCAACAAUUCUAGUAGGAAGAGUGGAAAGUGGACAUCACUCCAGGGUUGAACAUUCGUUGUUCCCAUCAAAGUUAAUCACAUUGUUUGGAGAGGUGGAGUAGCAAAAGUAUUUACCAUUAGCCCAGUGUGGGAUGAAAUCUAAACCUGCAGAGAGAGAGACCUGACUGUCUUGUGUUCCAUGUAAGUGGGGAUGCUUAGCAAGGGCUUGGGUACCAACUGCAUAACCCUGAGUUAAGCUGGGGUGCACAGAUCCUCUACCCAAAUGUAGGUUCCCAGUGCAGUCAGGUAGGAAGUCUUUCCUCUCAUUCAGUGAUGUCCCCCAGCAUUCCUUUAUAAACUACACUGUGUAUUAUACAAAUGUAGAUAUUUUUCAAUUUAUCAUUGUAAUUUCUUUGCUGGAGGCUCAAAAUAAUUUUAUUUCCAAUUUGGGAAAGUAGAGAGCCCAGAGAUAUUUGGGCCGUACAGCCCAUCAUGCUCAGAGGACUUUGUUUAAUGUUAGUGGUGCAGGA
Molecule: long non-coding RNA, 1226 nt
Filed under: Fukomys damarensis (Damara mole-rat)
Lineage: Eukaryota; Metazoa; Chordata; Mammalia; Rodentia; Bathyergidae
Description: lncRNA (ENSFDAG00000021784.1)
Source: RNAcentral